GACGAACGCUGGCGGCGUGCUUAACACAUGCAAGUCGAACGGAAAGGCCUCUUUCGGGGGGUACUCGAGUGGCGAACGGGUGAGUAACACGUGAGUAACCUGCCCUUGACUUUGGGGUAACUUCAGUAAACUGGGGCUAAUACCGGCUAGCAGCUCCUGCUGCAUGGUGGGGGUUGGAAAGUUUCGGCGGUUGGGGAUGGACUCGCGGGUUAUCGGCUUGUUGGUGGGGUAGUGGCUUACCAAGGCUUUGACGGGUAGCCGGCCUGAGAGGGUGACCGGCCACAUUGGGACUGAGAUACGGCCCAGACUCCUACGGGAGGCAGCAGUGGGGAAUAUUGCACAAUGGGUGGAAGCCGGAUGCAGCAACGCCGUGGGCGGGAUGACGGCCUUCGGGUUGUAAACCGCUUUCGCUCAUGACGAAGCUUUGUGUGACGGUAGUGGGUAAAGAAGCACCGGCUAACUACGUG
Molecule: ribosomal RNA, 467 nt
Filed under: uncultured bacterium
Lineage: Bacteria
Description: partial 16S ribosomal RNA
Rfam family: Bacterial small subunit ribosomal RNA
Source: RNAcentral